GAUGAACGCUGGCGGCGUGCCUAAUACAUGCAAGUCGAGCGAACAGACGAGGAGCUUGCUCCUCUGACGUUAGCGGCGGACGGGUGAGUAACACGUGGAUAACCUACCUAUAAGACUGGGAUAACUUCGGGAAACCGGAGCUAAUACCGGAUAAUAUAUUGAACCGCAUGGUUCAAUAGUGAAAGACGGUUUUGCCGUCACUUAUAGAUGGAUCCGCGCCGCAUUAGCUAGUUGGUAAGGUAACGGCUUACCAAGGCAACGAUGCGUAGCCGACCUGAGAGGGUGAUCGGCCACACUGGAACUGAGACACGGUCCAGACUCCUACGGGAGGCAGCAGUAGGGAAUCUUCCGCAAUGGGCGAAAGCCUGACGGAGCAACGCCGCGUGAGUGAUGAAGGUCUUCGGAUCGUAAAACUCUGUUAUUAGGGAAAAACAAAUGUGUAAGUAACUAUGCACGUCUUGACGGUACCUAAUCAGAAAGCCACGGCUAACUACGUG
Molecule: ribosomal RNA, 497 nt
Filed under: uncultured bacterium
Lineage: Bacteria
Description: partial 16S ribosomal RNA
Rfam family: Bacterial small subunit ribosomal RNA
Source: RNAcentral